ACCCGACCCGAUGGGUAUGCACCCUACCCAAAUUCGGUCAAACCCAAAAAAGAGGGUUUGAUCGGGUUUGGGUUUAGGUUUGGGUUUGGGUAAAAUCCAAAAAUUGUAGCACGGAUAUGGAUAGGGUAUGGAUAGUACUAUUUUCUAUCUAAACCCAAAUUCAAACCCGAUCCGAAUGUACGGGUAUAGGUAAUACCUGAACCCAUACCUGAAUAUAUAUUGUUUAUAAUUCUAUUUUGGUAAUUCUAUUUUGAUUGAUAAUAUAUAUAAAAUUAUUUUGGUUAUUUAUAUAUUCUAUGUUGAA
RNAcentral lists this long non-coding RNA (304 nucleotides) under Elaeis guineensis (African oil palm). RNAcentral's name for it is "long non-coding RNA (EGUI_LNC047154)". The record is from RNAcentral. Lineage: Eukaryota; Viridiplantae; Streptophyta; Magnoliopsida; Arecales; Arecaceae.